UACGUAGGUGGCAAGCGUUGUCCGGAUUUACUGGGUGUAAAGGGCGUGUAGACGGGACGGCAAGUCAGAUGUGAAAUUUAUGGGCUCAACCCAUAACCUGCAUUUGAAACUGUAGUUCUUGAGUGAUGGAGAGGUAAGCGGAAUUCCUAGUGUAGCGGUGAAAUGCGUAGAUAUUAGGAGGAACACCGGUGGCGAAGGCGGCUUACUGGACAUUAACUGACGUUGAGGCGCGAAAGUGUGGGUAGCAAACAGG
Molecule: ribosomal RNA, 253 nt
Filed under: uncultured bacterium
Lineage: Bacteria
Description: partial 16S ribosomal RNA
Rfam family: Bacterial small subunit ribosomal RNA
Source: RNAcentral